GACGAACGCUGGCGGCGUGCUUAACACAUGCAAGUCGAACGGAAAGGCCCUGCUUUUGUGGGGUGCUCGAGUGGCGAACGGGUGAGUAACACGUGAGUAACCUGCCCUUGACUUUGGGAUAACUUCAGGAAACUGGGGCUAAUACCGGAUAGGAGCUCCUGCUGCAUGGUGGGGGUUGGAAAGUUUCGGCGGUUGGGGCUGGACUCGCGGCUUAUGAGCUUGUUGGUGGGGUAGUGGUUUACCAAGGCUUUGACGGGUAGGCGGCAUGAGAGCGUGACCGGGGACAUGGGGACUGAGAGAGGCAGCAGUAGGGUAUGUGCGGCAGUGGUGGGGAAUAUUGCACAACAGGCGGAAGCGUGAUGCAGCAACGUCGCGUUCGUGAUGACGGCUUUCUGGUUGUAAACCGCUUUCGCCUGUGACGAAGCGUGAGUGACGGUAAUGGGUAAAGAAGCACCGGCUAACUACGUG
RNAcentral lists this ribosomal RNA (468 nucleotides) under uncultured bacterium. RNAcentral's name for it is "partial 16S ribosomal RNA". It matches the Rfam family "Bacterial small subunit ribosomal RNA", at positions 28 to 507 of the family's 1533-position model. The record is from RNAcentral.